This 73-nucleotide transfer RNA is filed under the name Micrococcus luteus. Its description in RNAcentral is "tRNA-Arg (CCG) (tRNA-Arg-CCG-1-1)". It matches the Rfam family "tRNA". Rfam says of the family: Transfer RNA (tRNA) molecules are approximately 80 nucleotides in length. Their secondary structure includes four short double-helical elements and three loops (D, anti-codon, and T loops). The record is from RNAcentral. RNAcentral also lists the same sequence under 46 other names. Lineage: Bacteria; Bacillati; Actinomycetota; Actinomycetes; Micrococcales; Micrococcaceae.
GCCUCCGUAGCUCAGGGGAUAGAGCGUCUGCCUCCGGAGCAGAAGGCCGCAGGUUCGAAUCCUGCCGGGGGCA